AGUGAACGCUGGCGGUAGGCCUAACACAUGCAAGUCGAACGGCAGCACAGUAAGAGCUUGCUCUUACGGGUGGCGAGUGGCGGACGGGUGAGGAAUACAUCGGAAUCUACUUUUUCGUGGGGGAUAACGUAGGGAAACUUACGCUAAUACCGCAUACGACCUACGGGUGAAAGCAGGGGAUCUUCGGACCUUGCGCGAUUGAAUGAGCCGAUGUCGGAUUAGCUAGUUGGCGGGGUAAAGGCCCACCAAGGCGACGAUCCGUAGCUGGUCUGAGAGGAUGAUCAGCCACACUGGAACUGAGACACGGUCCAGACUCCUACGGGAGGCAGCGGUGGGGAAUAUUGGACAAUGGGCGCAAGCCUGAUCCAGCCAUACCGCGUGGGUGAAGAAGGCCUUCGGGUUGUAAAGCCCUUUUGUUGGGAAAGAAAAGCAGCAGGUUAAUACCCCGCUGUUCUGACGGUACCCAAAGAAUAAGCACCGGCUACCUUCGU
This 491-nucleotide ribosomal RNA is filed under the name uncultured bacterium. RNAcentral describes it as "partial 16S ribosomal RNA". It matches the Rfam family "Bacterial small subunit ribosomal RNA", at positions 29 to 506 of the family's 1533-position model. The record is from RNAcentral.